AGUGAACGCUGGCGGUAGGCCUAACACAUGCAAGUCGAACGGCAGCACAGUAAGAGCUUGCUCUUACGGGUGGCGAGUGGCGGACGGGUGAGGAAUACAUCGGAAUCUACUUUUUCGUGGGGGAUAACGUAGGGAAACUUACGCUAAUACCGCAUACGACCUACGGGUGAAAGCAGGGGAUCUUCGGACCUUGCGCGAUUGAAUGAGCCGAUGUCGGAUUAGCUAGUUGGCGGGGUAAAGGCCCACCAAGGCGACGAUCCGUAGCUGGUCUGAGAGGAUGAUCAGCCACACUGGAACUGAGACACGGUCCAGACUCCCACGGGAGGCAGCAGUGGGGAAUAUUGGACAAAGGGCGCAAGCCUGAUCCAGCCAUACCGCGUGGGUGAAGAAGGCCUUCGGGUUGUAAAGCCCUUUUGUUGGGAAAGAAAAGCAGCAGGUUAAUACCCCGCUGUUCUGACGGUACCCAAAGAAUAAGCACCGGCUAACUUCGUG
Molecule: ribosomal RNA, 492 nt
Filed under: uncultured bacterium
Lineage: Bacteria
Description: partial 16S ribosomal RNA
Rfam family: Bacterial small subunit ribosomal RNA
Source: RNAcentral